This 693-nucleotide ribosomal RNA is filed under the name bacterium. RNAcentral's name for it is "bacterial SSU rRNA". It matches the Rfam family "Bacterial small subunit ribosomal RNA", at positions 326 to 1011 of the family's 1533-position model. The record is from RNAcentral.
ACUGACCAAACUCCUACAGGAGGUCCCCUGAGGGAAUCUUCCACAAUGCACUAAAGUCUGACAGAGCUUCUCCCCGAGACUGAUGAAAGUUUUCAGAGCCUUGACCUCUGCUGGUAUGUAACAUUUUUUGUUAUAUUAACUGCUCGCACCUUCUUAGUACCUAACCAGAAAGCCACGGCUAACUACGUGCCAGCAGCCGCGGUAAUACGUAGGUGGCAAGCGUUGUCCGGAAUUAUUGGGCGUAAAGGGCUCGCAGGCGGUUUCUUAAGUCUGAUGUGAAAGCCCCCGGCUCAACCGGGGAGGGUCAUUGGAAACUGGGAAACUUGAGUGCAGAAGAGGAGAGUGGAAUUCCACGUGUAGCGGUGAAAUGCGUAGAGAUGUGGAGGAACACCAGUGGCGAAGGCGACUCUCUGGUCUGUAACUGACGCUGAGGAGCGAAAGCGUGGGGAGCGAACAGGAUUAGAUACCCUGGUAGUCCACGCCGUAAACGAUGAGUGCUAAGUGUUAGGGGGUUUCCGCCCCUUAGUGCUGCAGCUAACGCAUUAAGCACUCCGCCUGGGGAGUACGGUCGCAAGACUGAAACUCAAAGGAAUUGACGGGGGCCCGCACAAGCGGUGGAGCAUGUGGUUUAAUUCGAAGCAACGCGAAGAACCUUACCAGGUCUUGACAUCCUCUGACACCCUAGAGAUAGGC